UACGAAGGGGGCUAGCGUUGUUCGGAAUUACUGGGCGUAAAGCGCACGUAGGCGGAUAUUUAAGUCAGGGGUGAAAUCCCAGAGCUCAACUCUGGAACUGCCUUUGAUACUGGGUAUCUUGAGUAUGGAAGAGGUAAGUGGAAUUGCGAGUGUAGAGGUGAAAUUCGUAGAUAUUCGCAGGAACACCAGUGGCGAAGGCGGCUUACUGGUCCAUAACUGACGCUGAGGCACGAAAGCGUGGGGAGCAAACAGG
Molecule: ribosomal RNA, 253 nt
Filed under: uncultured bacterium
Lineage: Bacteria
Description: partial 16S ribosomal RNA
Rfam family: Bacterial small subunit ribosomal RNA
Source: RNAcentral